RNAcentral lists this ribosomal RNA (597 nucleotides) under uncultured bacterium. Its description in RNAcentral is "bacterial SSU rRNA". It matches the Rfam family "Bacterial small subunit ribosomal RNA", at positions 136 to 737 of the family's 1533-position model. The record is from RNAcentral.
GUUGGGUAUAGCCGCGAGAAAUCGCGGGUAAUCCCCAGCGACGCAAGAGGUCGGCAUCGACGUCUUGCCAAAGGCUCGCCGCCGUGGGACGAGCCGUCGUGGUAUUAGGUCGUUGGCGGGGUAACGGCCCACCAAGCCUGCGAUGCCUACCGGGCGUGCGAGCGUGGCCCGGCACACUGGGACUGAGACACUGCCCAGACUCCUACGGGAGGCUGCAGUCGAGAAUCUUCGGCAAUGGGCGCAAGCCUGACCGAGCGACGCCGCGUGGAGGACGAAGGCCUUCGGGUUGUAAACUCCUGUCGAGGGGAAGGAAGGGGCCGAAAGGCCCUUGACCGCUCCCUGGAGGAAGCACGGGCUAAGUUCGUGCCAGCAGCCGCGGUAAGACGAACCGUGCGAACGUUAUUCGGAAUCACUGGGCUUAAAGCGCGUGUAGGCGGGGCGGUGCGUCGGCCGUUGAAAUCCCCCGGCUCAACCGGGGAAGUGGCGCCGAUACGACCGGCCUGGAGCGACGUAGGGGGAACUGGAACUUCCGGUGGAGCGGUGAAAUGCGUUGAGAUCGGAAGGAACGCCCGUGGCGAAAGCGAGUUCCUGGACGUC